GACGAACGCUGGCGGCGUGCCUAAUACAUGCAAGUAGAACGCUGAAGGAGGAGCUUGCUUCUCUGGAUGAGUUGCGAACGGGUGAGUAACGCGUAGGUAACCUGCCUGGUAGCGGGGGAUAACUAUUGGAAACGAUAGCUAAUACCGCAUAAGAGUAGAUGUUGCAUGACAUUUGCUUAAAAGGUGCAAUUGCAUCACUACCAGAUGGACCUGCGUUGUAUUAGCUAGUUGGUGGGGUAACGGCUUACCAAGGCGACGAUACAUAGCCGACCUGAGAGGGGGAUCGGCCACACUGGGACUGAGACACGGCCCAGACUCCUACGGGAGGCAGCAGUAGGGAAUCUUCGGCAAUAGACGGAAGUCUGACCGAGCAACGCCGCGUGAGUGAAGAAGGUUUUCGGAUCGUAAAGCUCUGUUGUAAGAGAAGAACGAGUGUGAGAGUGGAAAGUUCACACUGUGACGGUAUCUUACCAGAAAGGGACGGCUAACUACGUG
RNAcentral lists this ribosomal RNA (495 nucleotides) under uncultured bacterium. Its description in RNAcentral is "partial 16S ribosomal RNA". It matches the Rfam family "Bacterial small subunit ribosomal RNA", at positions 28 to 507 of the family's 1533-position model. The record is from RNAcentral.